Molecule: ribosomal RNA, 468 nt
Filed under: uncultured bacterium
Lineage: Bacteria
Description: partial 16S ribosomal RNA
Rfam family: Bacterial small subunit ribosomal RNA
Source: RNAcentral
GACGAACGCUGGCGGCGUGCUUAACACAUGCAAGUCGAACGGAAAGGCCCUGCUUUUGUGGGGUGCUCGAGUGGCGAACGGGUGAGUAACACGUGAGUAACCUGCCCUUGACUUUGGGAUAACUUCAGGGAACUGGGGCUCAUACCGGAUAGGAGCUCCUGCUGCAUGGUGGGGGUUGGAAAGUUUCGGCGGUUGGGGAUGGACUCGCGGCUUAUCAGCUUGUUGGUGGGGUAGUGGCUUACCAAGGCUUUGACGGGUAGCCGGCCUGAGAGGGUGACCGGCCUCAUUGGGACUGAGAUACGGCCCAGACGCCUACGGGAGGCAGCAGGGGGGAAUAUUGCACAAUGGGCGGAAGCCUGAUGCAGCAACGCCGCGUGCGGGAUGACGGCCUUCGGGUUGUAAACCGCUUUCGCCUGUGACGAAGCGUGAGUGACGGUAAUGGGUAAAGAAGCACCGGCUAACUACGUG